UUGGCUUCGAUUGGAUGCUCUACGGGGCUA
Molecule: small RNA, 30 nt
Filed under: Bombyx mori (domestic silkworm)
Lineage: Eukaryota; Metazoa; Arthropoda; Insecta; Lepidoptera; Bombycidae
Description: ovarian small RNA-940
Source: RNAcentral